CAAAAAGUCUGGUCAUUCACCUAAAUGGUACCCGGUGUCCAAUGUAGGAAUUGUAAACAAUUUGGACAUGUGCAAAAGAUUUGCAAAAACCAGAAAGAAAAAUAGAACCAGCAACAAGCACAAGUGGUAGAGGAUCAGUUGCAACAUCAGGAGGAGCAUCUAUUCACUACCAUCAAUUUUAAGGCCUGCAAUAGUGUUAAGACAUGGUUACUGGACAGUGGUUGUACACAUCAUAUGGCUUCUGAUUCCAGCAUCUUUGUUGAACUAAACAGUUCAUACAAAUCAAAGGUGAAAGUUGGCAAUGGAGACUAUGUGAAAGUGGAGGGAAUUGGAGUGAUUGGUGUACAAUUCCAUCAGGUAUUAAGCAUAUUUCUGAUGUACUUUAUGUCCCUGACAUUGAUCAAACUUAGCAAGUGUAGGCCAAUUAAUUGAGAAGAACUGCACAUUGAUAUUUAAAGAUAGUGGUUGCACUAUAUUUGAUCCAAGUGGAAAUAAGUUAAUGUUAGUUGAAAUGAGGCAAAGAAGCUUUACACUAGAAUGGAAGAAUAUGACAUCUCAUGUAUUCACCAGUACUAAGGUUGAGUCUUCACUUUGGCACAAACGGUUUGGACAUGUAAAUUACACCUCACUCAAGCAAUUAAACCAAUUGGAAUUGGUUGAAAACUUACCUAACAUUUGUGAUGAAAGCUGUGUUUGUGGGGUAUUCCAACUUGGAAAGCAAACCAGAAUGCCUUUUUCUAAAAAUCAAUCAAGGAGAGCAUCAAUUAAACUGGAAUUGAUCCAUUCAGAUGUGUGUGGCCAAAUGAGAACACAAACUCCAAAUGGCAGUCGAUAUUUUGUACUAUUCAUUGAUGAUUUAACAAGAAUGUGUUAGGUGUUUUUUCUAAAAAUGGAAUCUGAUGUAGCUGGUGUAUUUCAGAGGUUGAAUAAGCAGGUGGAAAAUGAAUGUGAUAGUAGAAUAAAAGCCAUUAGAACUGUCAAUGGAACUGAGUACAGGUGUGACUAGUUUGAUAAGUUUGCAAUGAUGUAGGAAUCAAACAUCAAUUAACCAUUCUAUAUUUCCCUCAGCAAAAUGGGAUGUGUGAAAGGAAAAAUAGAACCGUGAUGGAAAUGACAAGAUGCUUAAUGCUUAAGAAGAAAGUUCCUCAUGAAUUCUAGGUUGAAGCUGUAAAUACAGCUGGGUAUUUGCUCAAUAGAUUACCAACCAAGGCUUUAAAGAAAUUCACUCCUUUUGAAGCUUGGCAUGGAGUUAACCCAAAUGUCCUGCAUUUGAAAGUAUUUGGAAGCAUCUGCUACACCCAUAUACCUAAUGUCAAGAGGGAUAAACUGAGUCCUAAGGCAGAACUUGGAGUCUUGGUUGGUUAUUGUGAUAAUGCCAAGGGCUACAGAGUCUAUAAUCCACACAACAGGAAGAUGAUGUUCAGCGGGGAUAUCAAGGUUGAUGAAAACUCUUCAUGGAACUGGGAAGGAAAUGUCCUGGAUAAACCUCAAACUCCAAUGUUGGUGGCUCAAGGAAAUGAAGAUAUCAUUAGCAAUGAAGUUGAACCAAAUGAACCUGAACCAGAUGAUGACUCAGAUUCAGAGAAUGAAGUGCUGAGAACCAGACCUCUUGCUAAUAUAUAUGCCAGGUGCAAUGCAGCCGAAUUGGAACCUUCAACCUUCAAUGAAGCAGUAAAUUCACUUGGCUAGAUGGCUACAAUGAAGGAUGAGAUAGGGAUGAUUGAGAGAAUGGAAUAUGGUUGUUGGUUGACAGACCAAAACACAAGAAUGUGAUAGGAGUUAAAUGGGUGUUUAAGACCAAACUAAACUCUGAGUUCAAUCAACAAACUCAAAGCAAGGCUGGUUAUGAAGGGUUAUACUUAGCAAUAUGGUGUUGAUUAUACUGACACAUUUGCUCCUGUUGCAAGACAUGAAAAAAUCAGGCUGCUGUUGGCAAUAGCUGCACAAAGAGGCUGGAACAUUCAUCAUUUGGAUGUCAAAUCAGCUUUCUUAAAUGGUUGGCUGAAUGAGGAGAUUUAUGUUGAACAACCAGAUGGAUUCUUUAUUGCUGGAGAAAAAAAUAAAGUGUAUUUGUUGAAGAAAGCUUUGUAUGGCUUGAGGCAGGCUCCAAGAGCCUGGUACAACCGAGUUGAUGAACAUUUAAGCUGCUUUGGUUUUUUAAAAGUGUUAAUGAACAAACACUACAUAUAAAACAAGUGGAGGAAGAUGUUAUUAUCAUUUCAUUGUAUGUUGAUGACCUUCUAGUAAUUGGCAGCAAUCUGAAUUCUAUUGACAGUUUUAAAAGUGAAAUGAAGAUGGCAUUUGAGAUGACUAAUUUGGGGAGAAUGAAGUAUUUACUUGAAAUGGAAAUAAAUCAAACAAAGGAUGUAAUUUUUGUCAAUCAAGGGAGGUAUGCUGAAGAAAUUUUGAAGAAGUUCAACAUGGAACUACAAAUUAGUGAACACACCUUUGAUUCAAAAUUUGAAACUAAUGAAAGAUGAUGGUAGCAAGAAGUCUGAUGAAAAAGUGUAUAGAAGCUUGAUGGGAUGCCUUUUGUACUUAACCAUCAUAAGACCAGACCUCACAUUAGGUGCCAACAUACUUUCCAGAUUUAGACAGGAGCCAACUGAUCUACAUUUUUAGGCUGCAAAGAGAGUUCUAAGGUAUAUCAAAGGAAAUGCAGAGCUUGGAAUCUGAUUUAGGAGGUCUGAAAACUAUGAUGUGAAGAGCACAUCAGGGUAUGUAUUCUAUCUAGGAUCAAGUCCUGUCUGCUGGAACUCAAUGAAGUACAAAAUCGUGGCUCAGUCAACAGCUGAAGCAGAGUAUGUGGCUGCAUCUAAGGCUACAAACCAGGCAAUCUGGUUAAGGAAAGUCUUGGAGGAUCUAAACCAUAAGCAAUCUGAUGCAACAGUGAUCCAUUGUGACAACCAAUCUGCUGUGGCUAUGGUUAAAAACUUGGUGUUCCAUGGAAGGACAAAACAUAUCAAGAUAAAGUAUCAUGCAAUUAGGGAAGCACACGAGAACCUUGAAGUGAAGCUGGUGCAUUGCAAUUCUGAGGUCUAAUUUGCAGACAUCCUAACAAAACGUUUGUCUAAAGAAAGGUUUGAAACAUUAAGGAAAUGCUUUAGUGCUUCCAACAAAAGUGUCAACGAGUGUUGAUAGUUGAUUGCCACUUUUGUUGUCACAUUUUGUAGCAUUAUAUGUAUUAAAGUCAAUCCAUGUAAUGAUUAUUUUAAUUGCUUAUAAUGUGUUUCACAGCAUGGUAUAUCCUGUCAACAGAUAAGGUAGUAGUUGGUGACUAGAAAUAUGGUAAAAAACCUUUGUAAUAUGUAUCCAAUGUAGCCGGUUAUGGCAAUGAUUUCAUCUGAUCUUUUCCUUAUCAAAAAUCCA
This 3369-nucleotide long non-coding RNA is filed under the name Olea europaea subsp. europaea. The record is from RNAcentral. Lineage: Eukaryota; Viridiplantae; Streptophyta; Magnoliopsida; Lamiales; Oleaceae.